UCUCCAUGCUUCGUUCGCUUCCAACGUAUAUAAUGAAACGUUAUCAACGAGAUAGUUUACGUGACGUUAGAUCCUUAUCAAUUAGUUGCAAAGGGAGUUAGUUGUAAAAUCGACCUUCGCCGACAGCAUUACGGUUUCUAUUCACAUAAUUUUAAAAUUUAUUUAAAUUCAUUUAAUAACAAAAACGUUAUCGUGAUAGCAUUAUCAAGUCGACAGAUGAUAAUUGAAUGUUAACGCAUGUUCCAGAAACAAUUGAAAAGGUAGCUCUGGUGGACAUUCCAUUGCUUGUCGUCCCGGGCAAUAGUUUCGCAUCAACGGUUUCUAAUUGCAGUUCAUUGCGGGCAAUCCAAUAAACAAUGUUAAUUACA
Molecule: long non-coding RNA, 368 nt
Organism: Bombyx mori (domestic silkworm)
Lineage: Eukaryota; Metazoa; Arthropoda; Insecta; Lepidoptera; Bombycidae
Exons: 2
Source: RefSeq, a predicted model, not a curated record